Pseudopipra pipra is the source of this 1598-nucleotide long non-coding RNA. RefSeq lists it as uncharacterized. The transcript is spliced from 2 exons. The record is from RefSeq and is a predicted model, not a curated record. NCBI's taxonomy places the organism in Eukaryota, Metazoa, Chordata, Aves, Passeriformes, Pipridae.
GAGCCCACGGAGGCAGAGCGGGGUAACCAGGGUGUCAGUGGGUGCCAGAACGGCCACUCCAUGCUGACCCCCACGCCGGCAGUGCCAAGCGGACCCACGAACGCUGGCUCUCGUGCCAAAGGAUGAUUUCCCACUUCAGCUCCUUGAGGGAACAUCUUCCACAAGAUGGAGCCUGUGGGCAAACGAUGUGUGGCCGGGAGGACACCGGACGGCGAGCGGCUGCCUGUGCGUCCGGCCGCCUCGACACACAGGGGUCUGUCCGUCCAUCUGUCACCCAGGUGAUGCCCGGAGAGUCACGCAGAAUGGUCUAUCUGCCCAUCUGUUCGUCUCCCAGGCGGUGCCCGGAGAGCAGUACAGAGCGGUCUGUCUGUCUGUCUGUCCAUCUGUCUGUCUCCCAGGCGGUGCCAGGCAGCAAUGGAGAGAGGUUCGGAACCUGGCAGCCCCGAGGCCAGGGAUGCCAUCUCAAGGUCUGUUGCAGAGUGUGGGAAGCUACAGCUCUACUUAUGGCCUGUGAGGGGAAAGGAGCGAUACCCUGGACAGAGCCAGUGAGCUCCAGAACAUCACGGCUCAGACUCCACACAUCGUGUUCCAGAGGAGGGCUGGAGCAGGUAAUCACUUCCCUCUCUGGAGGUGUCGGCAGGGUCAGGGCUGAUGCAUUGUAAAUCAGCACCUUGAUGGAAUGGCACCUCGUUUUACUGAGCCUGCCCUUGUCUGUUUGAGAUUCACGUAUAAUUCUACCCCUUGCUGCUGGGGAGGUGGCUUUCCAGGCGAUAACUGCUUCCUUUUGGCACCCAAACAUGAACAGCAAACCAAACCAUGGACUGGCACUACGGCAUGGCCAUGCUGGGAACCCAAAGGUGAGGUGGAAUAAAAGUGCAUCUCUCCUAAAUAUGUGGCCAGCUCUGAGCUCCUACAAAUAAUCCACGUUCAGUGCCUCAUCUUUGCCAUCCCUACACUGGCAAGGGCUCCCUGCUGGCCCAGGAGAGCUGGUCCCAGCAUUGCCCUGUCCCCUCCAAGCCUGGCUGUCCCUCCCUGUGCAGUGGGAGAAGGUGAUGCUCGAGGUAUGGCACCUGGGGGGAACCACUGAAAAGCUCAGACCAGGCCAUGAUUAUAAAACAAAUAUUCAACAUCAGCAUCCAACAGUCAAUAUAUUCAGCAUCUCACCUUGGUCUUGGCGCAGUCCUGCCUGGCUGGGGCUGCCCACGCAGCUCCGCUGGGAUGGAGAGCCCAGGUGAUGCUAACCUAGAAAAGAGAAAAUCUCAGCUUUGUAUUUAACAAGCAGCAGAUGAUGCGGCCGUGUCUUGUUUGCUUGGAGCCAAGCGAAACCCUGCUGCUCUGGAGCAAAACGGUGAGUUAUUGAGGGGAGAAACGCGUGGGCAGGAAGCUGAGCCACGACAUCCCUCCCCUCCCGCCCACGGCCGUGUCCAGCCACCACAGGGAGAGACCAGCUCUGUAACAAGCACACCAGAACCAUCCCUCGGCCUUAGGCAAAGACAAAAGGGAGAUGAAAACAAAACCCAGAGUAAGAAUUAAAUUGUGCACUCUUGCUGGUGGAGGUGAAGCAUAAACCAAUAAAUGGCAGAAAUGCGUCUGAUAAA